RNAcentral lists this ribosomal RNA (406 nucleotides) under uncultured bacterium. Its description in RNAcentral is "partial 16S ribosomal RNA". It matches the Rfam family "Bacterial small subunit ribosomal RNA", at positions 30 to 526 of the family's 1533-position model. The record is from RNAcentral.
AUUGAACGCUGGCGGCAGGCCUAACACAUGCAAGUCGAACGAGUGGCGGACUGGUGAGUAAUGUCUGGGAAACUGCCUGAUGGAGGGGGCUAACUACUGGAAACGGUAGCUAAUACCGCAUACCAUCAGAUGUGCCCCGAUGGGAUUAGCUAGUUGGUGGGGUAACGGCUCACCAAGGCGACGAUCCCUAGCUGGUCUGAGAGGAUGACCGGCCACACUGGAACUGAGACACGGUCCAGACUCCUACGGGAGGCAGCAGUGGGGAAUAUUGGACAAUGGGCGAAAGCCUGAUGGAGCCAUGCCGCGUGUAUGAAGAAGGUCUUCGGGUUGUAAAGCACUUUCAUCGGGGAGGCGUUACCCACAGAAGAAGCACCGGCUAACUCCGUGCCAGCAGCCGCGGUAAUUC